GGCGGCGUGCUUAACACAUGCCAAGUUCGAACGAUGAAACCUUAGCUUGCUAAGGUGGAUUAGUGGCGCACGGGUGAGUAAUAUAUAGAUAACGUGCCUCCGAGACUGGGAUAGCCAUUGGAAACGAUGAUUAAUACUAGAUACUCCUUCUAACUAUAAAGUUAGUCGGGAAAGUUUUUCGCUCGGAGAUCGGUCUAUAUCCCAUCAGUUAGUUGGUAGUGUAAGAGACUACCAAGACAAUGACGGGUAGCGGGUUUGAGAGGAUGAUCCGCCACACUGGUACUGAGACACGGACCAGACUCCUACGGGAGGCAGCAGUGAGGAAUAUUGCACAAUGGGGGGAACCCUGAUGCAGCAACGCCGCGUGGAGGAUGACGCAUUUCGGUGUGUAAACUCCUUUUAUAUGUCAAGAAGAUGACGGUAGCAUAUGAAUAAGCACCGGCUAACUCCGUGCCAGCAGCCGCGGUAAUACGGAGGGUGCAAGCGUUAUUCGGAAUCACUGGGCGUAAAGGACACGUAGGCGGGAGGCCAAGUCUGAUGUGAAAUCCUAUGGCUUAACCAUAGAACAGCAUUGGAAACUGGUUACCUAGAGUAUGGGAGGGGGAGAUGGAAUUAGUG
This 618-nucleotide ribosomal RNA is filed under the name uncultured bacterium. Its description in RNAcentral is "bacterial SSU rRNA". It matches the Rfam family "Bacterial small subunit ribosomal RNA", at positions 38 to 672 of the family's 1533-position model. The record is from RNAcentral.